UACGAAUGGGGCAAGCGUUGUUCGGAAUCACUGGGCGUAAAGCGUGCGUAGGCGGUUUUGCAAGUCAGAAGUGAAAGCCCAAGGCUCAACCUUGGAAUUGCUUUUGAAACUGCAUUACUUGAAUCCCGGAGAGGUUAGUAGAAUUCCGAGUGUAGAGGUGAAAUUCGCAGAUAUUCGGAGGAAUACCAGUGGCGUAAGCGGCUAACUGGACGGGCAUUGACGCUGAGGUACGAAAGCGUGGGGAUCAAACAGGAUUAGAUACCCUGGUAGUCCACGCCAUAAACGAUGUGUGUUCGUUGUCGGGCUUAAGCUCGGCGACUAAGCUAACGCAGUAAACACACCGCCUGGGGAGUACGGUCGCAAGAUUA
Molecule: ribosomal RNA, 368 nt
Filed under: uncultured prokaryote
Description: bacterial SSU rRNA
Rfam family: Bacterial small subunit ribosomal RNA
Source: RNAcentral